AUGAACGCUAGCGGCAGGCCUAACACAUGCAAGUCGAGGGGCAGCACAGGUAGCAAUACUGGGUGGCGACGGCGGAUGGGUGCGUAACGCGUAUGCAACCUACCAUUGAUUGGGGCAUAGCCCGAAGAAAUUCGGAUUAAUACUCCAUAAUAUUCAUCAAAGGCAUCUUUUAUGAAUUAAAGCUUUUGCGAUCAAUGAUGGGCAUGCGUGACAUUAGUUAGUUGGUGAGGUAACGGCUCACCAAAACGAUGAUGUCUAGGGGUUCUGAGAGGAUUAUCCCCCACACUGGUACUGAGACACGGACCAGACUCCUACGGGAGGCAGCAGUGAGGAAUAUUGGUCAAUGGGCGCAAGCCUGAACCAGCCAUCCCGCGUGCAGGAAGACGGCCCUAUGGGUUGUAAACUGCUUUUCCAGGGAGAGAAACUUACGCACGUGUUGCGUGACUGACGGUACCCUGGGAAUAAGCAUCGGCUAACUCCGUG
Molecule: ribosomal RNA, 483 nt
Filed under: uncultured bacterium
Lineage: Bacteria
Description: bacterial SSU rRNA
Rfam family: Bacterial small subunit ribosomal RNA
Source: RNAcentral